Molecule: ribosomal RNA, 103 nt
Filed under: Lepisosteus oculatus (spotted gar)
Lineage: Eukaryota; Metazoa; Chordata; Actinopteri; Semionotiformes; Lepisosteidae
Source: RNAcentral
GUUCGCGACAAUAUCAACAUAACCCACUGAAGCUAAGCAGGUGUGAGCCUGGUCAGUACCUGGAUGGGAGACCUCCUGGGAAAAACUAAGGUUGCUGCUGGAA